CCGAAAUUAGAGAGAAUGAGAGAGAGAGAGAGAGAGGCAUGAAAGAGAGAGAAGGAGGAGAAGAAAGGAAGAAGGAGGAGGAGAUCUUAGGGUAUUCAAGGGUGAUUAUCACUUGGGUGUUGAUCAAGUUGUGUUCUUGAUUUUACAAUCAAGAGAGGUAGCAAAAGGUUUCUCUGUGGCAUGCAUGGUGAUGUGGGGAGUUCUAUCGUCCUGGUGUGUAUGGCGUGGGGCAUCCUAUGAACAAGAAACGAUCAACUUUAAACGCCAUUUUUAAUAAUGUUAUGUUUAAUGGGAUUUUCUUUAAAUUGUCA
Long non-coding RNA from Humulus lupulus (European hop), 311 nucleotides. RefSeq lists it as uncharacterized. The record is from RefSeq and is a predicted model, not a curated record. The transcript is spliced from 3 exons. NCBI's taxonomy places the organism in Eukaryota, Viridiplantae, Streptophyta, Magnoliopsida, Rosales, Cannabaceae.